AGGAAUUUUCGGCAAUGGAGGAAACUCUGACCGAGCAACGCCGCGUGAACGAUGAAGUAUUUAGGUACGUAAAGUUCUUUUAUUAAAGAAGAAAAAAUGAUGGAAAAAUCAUUCUGACGGUAUUUAAUGAAUAAGCCCCGGCUAACUAUGUGCCAGCAGCUGCGGUAAUACAUGGGGGGCAAGCGUUAUCCGGAUUUAUUGGGCGUAAAGGGUGCGUAGGCGGUUAAAUAAGUCUAUGGUAUAAGUUCAACGCUUAACGUUG
Molecule: ribosomal RNA, 262 nt
Filed under: Candidatus Phytoplasma prunorum
Lineage: Bacteria; Bacillati; Mycoplasmatota; Mollicutes; Acholeplasmatales; Acholeplasmataceae
Description: partial 16S ribosomal RNA
Rfam family: Bacterial small subunit ribosomal RNA
Source: RNAcentral